CAAAUGGUCCUUUUCAGGACCAUUCUUUGAUCGUGUCAUGCAUGAU
This is a non-coding RNA of Aedes aegypti (yellow fever mosquito), 46 nucleotides long. The record is from Rfam. NCBI's taxonomy places the organism in Eukaryota, Metazoa, Arthropoda, Insecta, Diptera, Culicidae.